RNAcentral lists this ribosomal RNA (962 nucleotides) under uncultured marine eukaryote. RNAcentral's name for it is "SSU rRNA". It matches the Rfam family "Eukaryotic small subunit ribosomal RNA", at positions 618 to 1606 of the family's 1831-position model. The record is from RNAcentral.
GUUAAAAGCUCGUCGUUGUAUUUCUGUUGAGGCGACGUGUCGCCCUAUGGGUGCGCAACUGGCUCGGCUUCGGCAUCUUCUUGGAGAGCGCAUCUGCACUUAACUGUGUGGAUCGUACUUCAAGUCAGUUACUUUGAGGAAUUGUGAGUGUUUCAAGCAGGCUUGCGCCGUUGAACCCGUUAGCAUGGAAUAAUAGAAUAGGACCUCGGUUCUAUUUUGUUGGUUUUGAGGGCUGGGGCAGCGAUUGAUAGGGACGGAUGGGGGCGUCCGAACUUUACUGUCAGAGGUGAAAUUCUUAGAUCGGUCAAAGGCGAACUACUGCGAACGCAUUCGCCAAGAAUGUUUUCUUUAAUCAAGAACGAAAGUUAGGGGAUCGAAGACGAUCAGAUACCGUCCUAGUCUUAACCAUAAACGUGACUGACUAGAGAUUGGAGGUUGUGAUUCACAAACUCCAUCAGCACCUCUAUGUGUAAACAAAGUCUUUGAGUUCUGGGGGGAGUAUGGUCGCAAGACUGAAACUUAAAGGAAUUGACGGAAGGGCACCACCAGGAGUGGGACCUGCGGCUUAAUUUGACUCAACACGGGGAAACUUACCAGAUCAAGACAUAGUAAGGAUUGACAGAUUGAGAGUUCUCUCUCGAUUCUAUGGGCGGUGGUGCAUGGCCGUUCUUAGUUGGUGGAGUGAUGUGUCUGGUUAAUUUCGUUAACGAACGAGACCUUAACUUGUUGAAUAGUUAAUCGUAACCUCGGUUACGUUGGAAUCUUCUUAGAGGGACUUUGUGUGAUCAACGCAAGGAAGUUUGAGGCGAUAACAGGUCUGUGAUGCCCUUAGAUGUUCUGGGAUGCACGCGCGUUACACUGAUUCGUUCAAUGAGUUUAUGACCUUGCCUGAUGAGGUGGGGGAUUUUUUUCGAAUCGCAUCGUGAUGGGGAUCGAGUAUUGUAACUGUUAGUCUUCAACGA